This 503-nucleotide ribosomal RNA is filed under the name Brachybacterium sp. RNAcentral's name for it is "bacterial SSU rRNA". The record is from RNAcentral. Lineage: Bacteria; Bacillati; Actinomycetota; Actinomycetes; Micrococcales; Dermabacteraceae.
CGAUGACGACCGAGCUUGCUCGGUCUGAUUAGUGGCGAACGGGUGAGAACACGUGAGUAACCUGCCCCCCACUUCGGGAUAACUUGARAAAUCGWGGCUAAUACCGGAUAUGAACUUCCGCCGCAUGGUGGUUGUUGGAAAGUUUUUCGGUGGGGGAUGGACUCACGGCCUAUCAGUUUGUUGGUGAGGUAAUGGCUCACCAAGACGAUGACGGGUAGCCGGCCUGAGAGGGCGACCGGCCACACUGGGACUGAGACACGGCCCAGACUCCUACGGGAGGCAGCAGUGGGGAAUAUUGCACAAUGGGCGAAAGCCUGAUGCAGCGACGCCGCGUGAGGGAUGACGGCCUUCGGGUUGUAAACCUCUUUCAGUAGGGAAGAAGCGAGAGUGACGGUACCUGCAGAAGAAGCGCCGGCUAACUACRUGCCAGCAGCCGCGGUAAUACGUAGGGCGCAAGCGUUGUCCGGAAUUAUUGGGCGUAAAGAGCUUGUAGGUGGCUUUGU